This 492-nucleotide ribosomal RNA is filed under the name uncultured bacterium. Its description in RNAcentral is "partial 16S ribosomal RNA". It matches the Rfam family "Bacterial small subunit ribosomal RNA", at positions 29 to 507 of the family's 1533-position model. The record is from RNAcentral.
AGUGAACGCUGGCGGUAGGCCUAACACAUGCAAGUCGAACGGCAGCACAGUAAGAGCUUGCUCUUACGGGUGGCGAGUGGCGGACGGGUGAGGAAUACAUCGGAAUCUACUUUUUCGUGGGGGAUAACGUAGGGAAACUUACGCUAAUACCGCAUACGACCUACGGGUGAAAGCAGGGGAUCUUCGGACCUUGUGCGAUUGAAUGAGCCGAUGUCGGAUUAGCUAGUUGGCGGGGUAAAGGCCCACCAAGGCGACGAUCCGUAGCUGGUCUGAGAGGAUGAUCGGCCACACUGGAGCUGAGACACGGUCCAGACUCCUACGGGAGGCAGCAGUGGGUAAUAUUGGACAAUGGGCGCAAGCCUGAUCCAGCCAUACCGCGUGGGUGAAGAAGGCCUUCGGGUUGUAAAGCCCUUUUGUUGGGAAAGAAAAGCAGCAGGUUAAUACCCCGCUGUUCUGACGGUACCCAAAGAAUAAGCACCGGCUAACUUCGUG